GCUGCUGGGCGGGGCGCGGCGGUGGGAGGGAGACCAUGGCGGCCACGUUUUUCGGUGAGGUGGUGAAGGCGCCGUGCCGAGCUGGGACGGAGGACGAGGAGGAGGACGAGGGGAACACCGAGACGCCCGAGGACAGGGAGGUCCGGCGGAAGCUGGCGCGGAAGAGAGAGGUACGGAUUCUUCGAAGACAAACGAAAACAUCUUUGGACGUUUCCCUGCUGGAAAAAUAUCCUUGCUCCAAGUUUAUAAUUGCUGUUGGAAAUAAUGCUGUAGCAUUUUUGUCAUCGUUUGUUAUGAAUUCAGGAGUCUGGGAAGAAGUCGGUAGUGCUAAACUCUGGAAUGAAUGGUGUAGAACAACAGACACCGAGCAUCUGUCCCCUGCAGAGGCUUUUUGCGUGUUUUAUCAUCUGAAGUCAAAUCCCUCGGUUCUCCUUUGUCAGUGCAGCUGCUACGUUGCUGAAGACCAGCAGUAUCAGUGGCUGGAAAAGGUUUUUGGCUCUUGUCCAAAGAAGAAUAUGCAAGUAACUAUUCUCACAUGUCGACAUGUUACUGACUACAAAACUUCAGAAUCCACCAGCAGCCUUCAUUCUCCUUUCCUGAGAGCCCUAAAAACCCAGGAUUCCAAAGAGCCUCCGUGCUGUCCACUGCUGGAACAGCCGAACAUCGCACACGGUCUCCCCGCAGCAGUUCUGAGUUACUGUCAAGUGUGGAGAAUCCCCGCCGUUCUGUACUUGUGCUACACUGAUGUGAUGAAAUUAGACCUCAUUACAGUGGAAGCUUUUAAGCCUGUGCUUUCUUCCCGAAGCUUGAAAGGUUUGGUUAAGCUUGGAUGUCAGCGUGAAAGAAAGGAGCCAGGAUGAACCCAGCCUAGAAGAAUGGAGCUGCACCAGCGGAGAUGGGGACCCGGAAGGUGACAAGCCCAGUGUGGUUUUGGAUCCUCAUCGCCGUGGGAGCUAGGCUCCGUCCCCUCUCACCUGAAUUCCAUCCUGAACACUUGGCGCUUGACGUCUAGAGCCGAGCAGCACGUGGUACCAUCUACCUGGACCCGGAGCCCUCUGUGUAGACAACACCACCGGAGAAGACCUGCGAGGGCGGGGCGAUGCUCAGUCCAGAUUUUGGAGACUCACGAGUGAGGGC
Molossus molossus (Pallas's mastiff bat) is the source of this 1137-nucleotide RNA transcript. It is a transcript of the gene named proteasome assembly chaperone 1, with no coding region annotated. Lineage: Eukaryota; Metazoa; Chordata; Mammalia; Chiroptera; Molossidae. The record is from RefSeq and is a predicted model, not a curated record. The transcript has 9 exons.